This 92-nucleotide transfer RNA is filed under the name Candidatus Parcubacteria bacterium. RNAcentral describes it as "tRNA-Ser". It matches the Rfam family "tRNA". Rfam says of the family: Transfer RNA (tRNA) molecules are approximately 80 nucleotides in length. Their secondary structure includes four short double-helical elements and three loops (D, anti-codon, and T loops). Further hydrogen bonds mediate the characteristic L-shaped molecular structure. tRNAs have two regions of fundamental functional importance: the anti-codon, which is responsible for specific mRNA codon recognition, and the 3' end, to which the tRNAs corresponding amino acid is attached (by aminoacyl-tRNA synthetases). tRNAs cope with the degeneracy of the genetic code in two manners: having more than one tRNA (with a specific anti-codon) for a particular amino acid; and 'wobble' base-pairing, i.e. permitting non-standard base-pairing at the 3rd anti-codon position. Lineage: Bacteria; Candidatus Parcubacteria. The record is from RNAcentral. RNAcentral also lists the same sequence under 1 other name.
GGAGGAGUGCGCCGAAUUGGUAAGGCAGCGGAUUGCUAAUCCGUAGCGGUCUAAAAAGCCGCUUGUGGGUUCAAGUCCCACCUCCUCCGCCA